RNAcentral lists this ribosomal RNA (1454 nucleotides) under Haemophilus influenzae. Its description in RNAcentral is "bacterial LSU rRNA". It matches the Rfam family "Bacterial large subunit ribosomal RNA", at positions 1221 to 2658 of the family's 2925-position model. Lineage: Bacteria; Pseudomonadati; Pseudomonadota; Gammaproteobacteria; Pasteurellales; Pasteurellaceae. The record is from RNAcentral.
CUGUUGGGUAGGGGAGCGUUGUGUAAGCGGAAGAAGGUUCAUCGAGAGGUGGGCUGGACGUAUCACAAGUGCGAAUGCUGACAUAAGUAACGAUAAAACGGGUGAAAAACCCGUUCGCCGGAAGACCAAGGGUUCCUGUCCAACGUUAAUCGGGGCAGGGUGAGUCGGCUCCUAAGGCGAGGCUGAAAAGCGUAGUCGAUGGGAAACAGGUUAAUAUUCCUGUACUUGGUAAAGCUGCGAUGUGGGGACGGAGUAGGUUAGGUUAUCGCACUGUUGGAUAUGUGCGUUUAAGUUGGUAGGUGGGAAGUUUAGGCAAAUCCGGACUUCCUUAACACAGAGAGAUGAUGACGAGGCUCUACGGAGCUGAAGUAACUGAUACCACACUUCCAGGAAAAGCCACUAAGCGAAAGGCUUUACUAAACCGUACUGAAAACCGACACAGGUGGUCAGGUAGAGAAUACUCAGGCGCUUGAGAGAACUCGGGUGAAGGAACUAGGCAAAAUAGCACCGUAACUUCGGGAGAAGGUGCGCCGGCGUAGAUUGUAAGGGCUAGCCCCUGAAGGUUGAACCGGUCGAAGAUACCAGCUGGCUGCAACUGUUUAUUAAAAACACAGCACUCUGCAAACACGAAAGUGGACGUAUAGGGUGUGAUGCCUGCCCGGUGCUGGAAGGUUAAUUGAUGGUGUCAUCGAAAGAGAAGCACCUGAUCGAAGCCCCAGUAAACGGCGGCCGUAACUAUAACGGUCCUAAGGUAGCGAAAUUCCUUGUCGGGUAAGUUCCGACCUGCACGAAUGGCAUAAUGAUGGCCAGGCUGUCUCCACCCGAGACUCAGUGAAAUUGAAAUCGCCGUGAAGAUGCGGUGUACCCGCGGCUAGACGGAAAGACCCCGUGAACCUUUACUAUAGCUUGACACUGAACAUUGAAUUUUGAUGUGUAGGAUAGGUGGGAGACUUAGAAGUAGGAACGCCAGUUUCUAUGGAGUCAUCCUUGAAAUACCACCCUUUAACGUUUGAUGUUCUAACGAAGACUACGGAACGUGGUCUCGGACAGUGUCUGGUGGGUAGUUUGACUGGGGCGGUCUCCUCCCAAAGCGUAACGGAGGAGCACGAAGGUUUGCUAAUCACGGUCGGACAUCGUGAGGUUAGUGCAAUGGUAUAAGCAAGCUUAACUGCGAGACAGACAAGUCGAGCAGGUACGAAAGUAGGUCAUAGUGAUCCGGUGGUUCUGAAUGGAAGGGCCAUCGCUCAACGGAUAAAAGGUACUCCGGGGAUAACAGGCUGAUACCGCCCAAGAGUUCAUAUCGACGGCGGUGUUUGGCACCUCGAUGUCGGCUCAUCACAUCCUGGGGCUGAAGUAGGUCCCAAGGGUAUGGCUGUUCGCCAUUUAAAGUGGUACGCGAGCUGGGUUUAGAACGUCGUGAGACAGUUCGGUCCCUAUCUGCCGUGGGCGUAGGA